Molecule: long non-coding RNA, 595 nt
Organism: Oryzias melastigma (Indian medaka)
Lineage: Eukaryota; Metazoa; Chordata; Actinopteri; Beloniformes; Adrianichthyidae
Exons: 2
Source: RefSeq, a predicted model, not a curated record
UCCAGAGCUCGACCUAUCAGCUGCAGACCAAUGGGAAGCCCCCGGCUGGACAAGGCGGUUGGCACAGAGACUGCAGGCAAACCUGAUGAGAACAAAAGAAAUGUGAAAUAAGAGCAUAAGUCUACUGGAGGACAAGUGCGACACCUCUGAACUAAACACCAAGCCUGGCAUAAUGCUGAGUUCAAACUGAACCACAUUUACACGUCAAAUUGGCAUCCACAGGCUCUUUUGACUCGCGUCAAAUUCAGUGCUCAAUGCUUGAAUGUCUUCAUAAACUAGACGCUGCCGUCACGUGUGGGAGAAGGCACCAUCAAGAUCUGAGCCCCAUAGCUACAGGGAAGCCGUGGCUUAAUGCAUGGAAGACACAGAUGACGCUGAGAUCAGAUUUAUUUAUUUUGAAGAGCUCUUUAAAAGCUCUGCUAUCUGUCUGGGUUCAUGAGAUCAAUUAGUCUUUCUUUCCAGCGAUAACUACAGUCUAUACUGCAGGAGGCGGUUUCUGAAUGAAGGCACUUUCAGCCAUACUCUGUAACCCAGUUUGACAACUUUUUGUCUUACAUUAUCAGAGGAAGGAAAAAAUAAAAACAAGAAUAAAAAA